This 569-nucleotide ribosomal RNA is filed under the name uncultured fungus. Its description in RNAcentral is "eukaryotic LSU rRNA". The stretch from base 165 to 318 matches the Rfam family "5.8S ribosomal RNA". The record is from RNAcentral. Lineage: Eukaryota; Fungi.
UCGUACAGGUUUCCGUAGGUGAACCUGCGGAAGGAUCAUUAAUGAUUGACCCUCUGGGUCUUAUCUUAACAUCCCUCACCUCUGUGAACCGUUUGACCUCCGGGUCUUACAAAACCAUUACAAACAUCAGUGUAAAGAACGUCUUGUUAUCUUAACAAAAACAAAACUUUCAACAACGGAUCUCUUGGCUCUCGCAUCGAUGAAGAACGCAGCGAAAUGCGAUAAGUAAUGUGAAUUGCAGAAUUCAGUGAAUCAUCGAAUCUUUGAACGCACCUUGCGCCUUUUGGUAUUCCGAAAGGCAUGCCUGUUUGAGUGUCAUGAAAUCUCAAUCCCAUCUGGUUUAUGACCGGGUGUUGGACUUGGACAUGGGUGUCUGCCGGUCAAAGGGCUCGCCUCAAAUGACUUAGUGGGAUCGCUUGCAUCCGUGACAGACGUAAUAAGUUUCGUCUUGUCCCUUGCUCUGCGUACGCCUGCUCAGAACCAAGCUGUCUUGCCUUCACCGGCCUGACGCACUUUUUUGACUCUAACCUCAAAUCAGGUAGGACUACCCGCUGAACUUAAGCAUAUCA